This 620-nucleotide ribosomal RNA is filed under the name uncultured fungus. Its description in RNAcentral is "eukaryotic LSU rRNA". The stretch from base 210 to 364 matches the Rfam family "5.8S ribosomal RNA". Lineage: Eukaryota; Fungi. The record is from RNAcentral.
AAGGAUCAUUACCGAACUGUCAACACGAGCUGUUGCUGGCCCUUCAAGCGGGGGGCACGUGCACGCUCUGUUCACAAAUCCAUUCACACCUGUGCACCCUUGCAGUUCCGUGGUUUGGGGGGCCCUGUCCUCCUGCUGUGGCUCUGUUCCUUUACACACACCGUAUGAAGUCUUUUGGAAUGUGUGCCGCGUUUAACGCAAUACAAUACAACUUUCAGCAACGGAUCUCUUGGCUCUCGCAUCGAUGAAGAACGCAGCGAAAUGCGAUAAGUAAUGUGAAUUGCAGAAUUCAGUGAAUCAUCGAAUCUUUGAACGCACCUUGCGCCCUUUGGCUAUUCCGAAGGGCAUGCCUGUUUGAGUAUCAUGAACACCUCAACUCUCAUGGCUUGCCGUGAUGAGCUUGGACUUUGGGGGUUUUGCUGGCCCUGUGGUCAGCUCCUCUCAAACGCAUUAGCUUGCCAGUGUUUGGUGGCAUCACAGGUGUGAUAAUGUCUACGCUUGUGGUCGCCUGCCAAGUAAUCUUCAGCGAUGAAGGUUUGCUGGGGCUUCAAAACGUCUCUGCAGAGACAGCUUCUUGAACGUUUGAUCUCAAAUCAGGUAGGAUUACCCGCUGAACUUAA